Molecule: ribosomal RNA, 405 nt
Filed under: uncultured bacterium
Lineage: Bacteria
Description: partial 16S ribosomal RNA
Rfam family: Bacterial small subunit ribosomal RNA
Source: RNAcentral
AUUGAACGCUGGCGGCAGGCUUACCACAUGCAAGUCGAACGAGUGGCGGACGGGUGAGUAAUGCUUGGGAAUCUAGCUUAUGGAGGGGGAUAACUACGGGCAACUGUAGCUAAUACCGCGUACCAUAGGAUGAGCGCACGUGGGAGUAGGUAGUUGGUGAGGUAAAGGCUCACCAAGCCGACGAUCUCUAGCUGGUCUGAGAGGAUGACCGUCCAGUCUGGGACUGAGACAUGGCACAGACUCCUACGGGAGGCAGCAGUGGGGAAUAUUGCGCAAUGGGGGCAGACUGACGCAGCCAUGCCGCGUGAAUGAAGAAGGCCUUCGGGUUGUAAAGUUCUUUCUGUAGCGAGGCGUUAACUACAGAAGAAGCACCGGCUAACUCCGUGCCAGCCGCCGCGGUAAUAC